This is a long non-coding RNA of Asparagus officinalis (garden asparagus), 395 nucleotides long. RefSeq lists it as uncharacterized. The record is from RefSeq and is a predicted model, not a curated record. The transcript is spliced from 3 exons. Lineage: Eukaryota; Viridiplantae; Streptophyta; Magnoliopsida; Asparagales; Asparagaceae.
UUUCUACAGUUCCGCCCCCUUCCCCAUUUCUUCUUUUUUUUUCGGUUCUGACCUCUUCUCCCUCCCCAAGAGCUCUAAAACUCCAAGAACUUCCCCACACCAAGGACUCCAAACAAGACCCAAGUCUUCCUCCUCAAAACCCAUUAGCUUUGAUAAGAUAAAGCCUCGAAAAGGAACCCGAAAUCUUCAUCUCCUCACAAGCUAGGGUUUGGGAUUUUCUUCUUCUUCAAGCUUUAGAACUUGGGUUUCCGAUGCCUCCACGCCGAUCUCGACUUCCUAGGAGUCGAUCCCAUUCGCAGCCUAGCGAGGAAGAAGUUCCCGCAGCAUCCUCCCCUCCAGCGGUUUCCUUUUUUGGGGUCGAGUUCCCCGCGGGCAGCCUUCCUCCUCAUGCUAAU